RNAcentral lists this ribosomal RNA (669 nucleotides) under uncultured Flavobacteriales bacterium. RNAcentral describes it as "bacterial SSU rRNA". It matches the Rfam family "Bacterial small subunit ribosomal RNA", at positions 145 to 813 of the family's 1533-position model. The record is from RNAcentral. Lineage: Bacteria; Pseudomonadati; Bacteroidota; Flavobacteriia; Flavobacteriales.
AGCCCGGAGAAAUUCGGAUUAAUACCCCAUAGUACUACGAGAAGGCAUCUUUUUGUGGUUAAAGUAUUACGGUAAAGGAUGGCUAUGCGUCCUAUUAGUUCGUAGGUGAGGUAACGGCUCACCUAGACUUCGAUAGGUAGGGGCCCUGAGAGGGGGAUCCCCCACACUGGUACUGAGACACGGACCAGACUCCUACGGGAGGCAGCAGUGAGGAAUAUUGGACAAUGGUCGAGAGACUGAUCCAGCCAUGCCGCGUGCAGGAAGACUGCCCUAUGGGUUGUAAACUGCUUUUUUACGGGAAGAAUAAUACCCACGUGUGGGUAGAUGACGGUACCGUACGAAUAAGGACCGGCUAACUCCGUGCCAGCAGCCGCGGUAAUACGGAGGGUCCGAGCGUUAUCCGGAAUUAUUGGGUUUAAAGGGUCCGCAGGCGGGCCAGUAAGUCAGGGGUGAAAGUUUGCGGCUUAACCGUAAAAUUGCCUUUGAUACUGCUGGUCUUGAGUUGCGGUGAAGUGGCCGGAAUAUGUGGUGUAGCGGUGAAAUGCAUAGAUAUCACAUAGAACACCGAUUGCGAAGGCAGGUCACUAACCGCCGACUGACGCUGAUGGACGAAAGCGUGGGGAGCGAACGGGAUUAGAUACCCCGGUAGUCCACGCCGUAAACGAUGGA